GUCGGAAUUGCUAGUAAUCGCAGAUCAGCAUGCUGCGGUGAAUACGUUCCCGGGCCUUGUACACACCGCCCGUCACACCAUGGGAGUCGGUAACACCCGAAGUCGGUAGCCUAACCGUAAGGAGGGCGCCGCCGAAGGUGGGAUUGAUGAUUAGGGUUAAGUCGUAACAAGGUAGC
This 176-nucleotide ribosomal RNA is filed under the name uncultured bacterium. Its description in RNAcentral is "partial 16S ribosomal RNA". It matches the Rfam family "Bacterial small subunit ribosomal RNA", at positions 1325 to 1500 of the family's 1533-position model. The record is from RNAcentral.